Myotis davidii is the source of this 74-nucleotide non-coding RNA. NCBI's taxonomy places the organism in Eukaryota, Metazoa, Chordata, Mammalia, Chiroptera, Vespertilionidae. The record is from Rfam.
GGCCAGUUUGCUUAGUGGUUAGAGCAUUGGCCUGUGGACCUAAUGGCUGUGGGUUCGAUCCCCAGCCCUAGGCG